UACGGAGGGAGCUAGCGUUGUUCGGAAUUACUGGGCGUAAAGCGAGUGUAGGCGGUGUGGUAAGUCGGAUGUGAAAGCCCCGGGCUCAACCCGGGAAGUGCACUCGAUACUGCCACGCUAGAGUAUCGGAGAGGUUGGUGGAAUUCUCGGUGUAGAGGUGAAAUUCGUAGAUAUCGAGAGGAACACCGGUGGCGAAGGCGGCCAACUGGACGAAUACUGACGCUGAGACUCGAAAGCGUGGGGAGCAAACAGG
Molecule: ribosomal RNA, 253 nt
Filed under: uncultured bacterium
Lineage: Bacteria
Description: partial 16S ribosomal RNA
Rfam family: Bacterial small subunit ribosomal RNA
Source: RNAcentral